GAUGAACGCUGGCGGCGUGCCUAAUACAUGCAAGUCGAGCGAACAGACGAGGAGCUUGCUCCUCUGACGUUAGCGGCGGACGGGUGAGUAACACGUGUAUAACCUACCUAUAAGACUGGGAUAACUUCGGAAAACCGGAGCAAAUACCGGAUAAUAUAUUGAACCGCAGGGUUCAUUGGUGAAAUACGGUUUUUCUGUCUCUUCUCGCUGCAUCCGAGCCGCAUUAGAUAGUUGGUAAGGUCACGGCUUACCAAGGCAACGAUUCGUAGACGACGUGAGAGGGUGAUAGGCCACACUGGAACUGAGACACGGUCCAGACUACUACGGGAGGCAGCAGUAGGGAAUCUUCCGCAAUGGGCGAAAGCCUGACGGAGCAACGCCGCGUGAGUGAUGAAGGUCUUCGGAGCGUAAAACUCUGUUAUUAGUGAAGAACAAAUGUGUAAGUAACUAUGCACGUCUUGACGGUACCUAGUCAGAAAGCAACGGCUAACUACGUG
RNAcentral lists this ribosomal RNA (497 nucleotides) under uncultured bacterium. Its description in RNAcentral is "partial 16S ribosomal RNA". It matches the Rfam family "Bacterial small subunit ribosomal RNA", at positions 28 to 507 of the family's 1533-position model. The record is from RNAcentral.